UCUGGAAACUGUNUGACUUGAGUGCAGAAGGGGAGAGUGGAAUUCCAUGUGUAGCGGUGAAAUGCGUAGAUAUAUGGAGGAACACCAGUGGCGAAAGCGGCUCUCUGGUCUGUCACUGACGCUGAGGCUCGAAAGCGUGGGUAGCGAACAGGAUUAGAUACCCUGGUAGUNCACGCCGUAAACGAUGAGUGCUAGGUGUUAGGCCCUUUCCGGGGCUUAGUGCCGGAGCUAACGCAAUAAGCACUCCGCCUGGGGAGUACGACCGCAAGGUUGAAACUCAAAGGAAUUGACGGGGGCCCGCACAAGCGGUGGAGCAUGUGGUUUAAUUCGAAGCAACGCGAAGAACCUUACCAGGUCUUGACAUCCCGAUGCUAUUCUUAGAGAUAGGAAGUUACUUCGGUACAUCGGAGACAGGUGGUGCAUGGUUGUCGUCAGCUCGUGUCGUGAGAUGUUGGGUUAAGUCCCGCAACGAGCGCAACCCUUAUUGUUAGUUGCCAUCAUUAAGUUGGGCACUCUAGCGAGACUGCCGGUAAUAAACCGGAGGAAGGUGGGGAUGACGUCAAAUCAUCAUGCCCCUUAUGACCUGGGCUACACACGUGCUACAAUGGUCGGUACAACGAGUUGCGAGCCGGUGACGGCAAGCUAAUCUCUGAAAGCCGAUCUCAGUUCGGAUUGGAGGCUGCAACUCGCCUCCAUGAAGUCGGAAUCGCUAGUAAUCGCGGAUCAGCACGCCGCGGUGAAUACGUUCCCGGGCCUUGUACACACCGCCCGUCACACCACGAGAGUUUGUAACACCCGAA
RNAcentral lists this ribosomal RNA (800 nucleotides) under uncultured bacterium. Its description in RNAcentral is "bacterial SSU rRNA". It matches the Rfam family "Bacterial small subunit ribosomal RNA", at positions 625 to 1425 of the family's 1533-position model. The record is from RNAcentral.